UUAAAUUAAUAAGGGCGUACGGUGGAUGCCUUGGCAAUUAGAGCUGAUGAAGGACGCAACUAACGGCGAAACGCUUCGGGGAGUGGUAAGUACACAAUGAUCCGGAGAUAUCCGAAUGAGGAAACUCAAUAGCGGUAAUGCGCUAUUAUCCAUAAGUAAAUACAUAGCUUAUGAGAAAGCAACCCAGUGAAUUGAAACAUCUUAGUAGCUGGAGGAAAAGAAAACAAUAGUGAUUCCCUUAGUAGCGGCGAGCGAACUGGGAACAGCCCAAACCAACUUAGUGUUGGGGUAGUAGGACCACAAUGUGGGACUCAAAUGAUUAGAAGAACGGCAUUGAAAGGCCGGCCAUAGAAGGUGCAAGCCCUGUAUUUGAAAAUCCAAUGAGCCCUAGUGGCAUCCUGAGUACGGCGGGGCACGUGUAACCCUGUCGGAAACAGCCGGGACCAUCCGGUAAGGCUAAAUACUCCUAAUUGACCGAUAGUGAACCAGUACCGUGAGGGAAAGGUGAAAAGAACCGCGGAAGCGGAGUGAAAUAGAUCCUGAAACCGUAUGCUUACAACAAGUCAGAGCCCGUUUAGGGGUGAUGGCGUGCCUUUUGUAGAAUGAACCGGCGAGUUACCAUGUCGUGCGAGGUUAAGUAGAAAAUACGGAGCCGUAGCGAAAGCGAGUCUUAAUAGGGCGAUAGUACGACGCGGUAGACCCGAAACCAGGCGAUCUAGCCAUGAUCAGGUUGAAGGUUGGGUGAUACCAACUGGAGGACCGAACCGACCACCGUUGAAAAGUUGGCGGAUGAAUUGUGGCUAGGGGAGAAAUUCCAAUCGAGCUUGGAGAUAGCUGGUUCUCCCCGAAAUAGCUUUAGGGCUAGCGUCAAAGUGAAGUCCUAUGCAGGUAGAGCACUGAAUAUGUGAUGGCCUCAUCCCGAGGUACUGAAUGUAAUCAAACUCCGAAUGGCAUAGCGAUAUAUUUGGCAGUCAGACUGUGGGUGAUAAGGUCCAUGGUCAAAAGGGAAACAGCCCAGAUCAUCAGUUAAGGUCCCAAAAUUCUUACUAAGUGGAAAAGGAUGUGGGGAUGCACAGACAACUAGGAGGUUGGCUUAGAAGCAGCCACCCUUCAAAGAGUGCGUAAUAGCUCACUAGUCGAGUGACCCUGCGCCGAAAAUUUACCGGGGCUAAGUAAGAUACCGAAACUAUGGAUGGUAUAGAAAUAUACCGUGGUAGGGGAGCGUUCUAAUCCGCAUUGAAGGUGUACCGUGAGGAGCGCUGGAGCGAUUAGAAGUGAGAAUGCCGGUGUGAGUAGCGAAAUGUCAGUGAGAAUCUGACACACCGAUUGCCCAAGGUUUCCAGGGGAAGGUUCGUCCGCCCUGGGUAAGUCGGGACCUAAGAUGAGGCCGAAAGGCGUAGUCGAUGGACAACGGGUUGAUAUUCCCGUACCCGCGUACAAGUGAUGGAGUGACAGAGAAGGCUAAGAUGAGCCGGCGAUUGGUAGAGCCGGUCUAAGCGAGGUAGCAGUGUUGUAGGCAAAUCCGCAACACAAUGUGAAGACGUGAUGGGGAGUGAACGGGUGACCAAGUAACGAAGCAUCUGAUGCCAGCUUUCAAGAAAAGCUUCUAGCGUUAAUUGUAUGGCGGCCCGUACCAAAACCGACACAGGUGGGCAAGGAGAGAAUCCUGAGGUGAGCGAGAGAACUGUUGCCAAGGAACUCGGCAAAAUGACCCCGUAAGUUAGCGAGAAGGGGUGCACGAAAGUGUCGCAGUGAAGAGGCCCAAGCAACUGUUUAACUAAAACACAGCUCUAUGCAAAGUCGCAAGACGACGUAUAUGGGGUGACGCCUGCCCGGUGCUGGAAGGUUAAGGGGAUUUGUUAGUCGCAAGACGAAGCUUUGAACCGAAGCCCCAGUGAACGGCGGCCGUAACUAUAACGGUCCUAAGGUAGCGAAAUUCCUUGUCAGGUAAGUUCUGACCCGCACGAAAGGCGUAAUGAUUUGGGCGCUGUCUCGGCAGCAGACUCGGUGAAAUCUUAGUACCUGUGAAGAUGCAGGUUACCCGCAACUAGACGGAAAGACCCCAUGGAGCUUUACUGUAGCCUGAUAUUGAGUUUUGAGCAAGUAUGUACAGGAUAGGUGGGAGACUAAGAAGUGUGGACGUCAGUCUGCAUGGAGUCGCCGUUGGGAUACCACUCUUGCUUGUUUGAAAUUCUAACCGACACCCAUGAUCUGGGUGCGGGACCGUGUCAGGUGGGCAGUUUGACUGGGGCGGUCGCCUCCUAAAGAGUAACGGAGGCGCUCAAAGGUACCCUCAGAUUGGUUGGAAAUCAAUCGACGAGCGCAAAGGCAGAAGGGUGCUUGACUGCGAGACUUACAAGUCGAGCAGGGACGAAAGUCGGACUUAGUGAUCCGGCGGUGCAGUAUGGAAUGGCCGUCGCUUAACGGAUAAAAGCUACCCUGGGGAUAACAGGCUGAUCUCGCCCAAGAGUUCACAUCGACGGCGAGGUUUGGCACCUCGAUGUCGGCUCAUCGCAUCCUGGAGCUGUAUUCGGUUCCAAGGGUUGGGCUGUCCGCCCAUUAAAGCGGUACGUGAGCUGGGUUCAGAACGUCGUGAGACAGUUCGGUCCCUAUCUGUUGUGGGCGUAGGAAAUUUGAGGAGUGCUGUCCUUAGUACGAGAGGACCGGGAUGGACAUACCUCUGGUGCACCAGUUGUCGUGCCAACGGCAUAGCUGGGUAGCCAAGUAUGGAUCGGAUAAACGCUGAAGGCAUCUAAGUGUGAAACCGGCUCCAAGAUGAGAUUUCCCAUUCCUAGUGAAGUAAGACCCCUUGAAGACUACAAGGUUGAUAGGUCAGAGAUGGAAGCGCAGUGAUGCGUGUAGUUGACUGAUACUAAUAGGUCGAGGAUUUAAUCAC
This 2896-nucleotide ribosomal RNA is filed under the name hot springs metagenome. RNAcentral's name for it is "bacterial LSU rRNA". It matches the Rfam family "Bacterial large subunit ribosomal RNA". The record is from RNAcentral.